UACAGAGGUCUCAAGCGUUGUUCGGAUUCAUUGGGCGUAAAGGGUGCGUAGGUGGCGAUGUAAGUCUGGUGUGAAAUCUCGGAGCUUAACUUCGAAAUUGCAUUGGAUACUGCGUUGCUCGAGGAUUGUAGAGGAGAGUGGAAUUCACGGUGUAGCAGUGAAAUGCGUAGAUAUCGUGAGGAAGACCAGUUGCGAAGGCGACUCUCUGGGCAAUUCCUGACACUGAGGCACGAAGGCCAGGGGAGCAAACGGG
This 253-nucleotide ribosomal RNA is filed under the name uncultured bacterium. RNAcentral describes it as "partial 16S ribosomal RNA". It matches the Rfam family "Bacterial small subunit ribosomal RNA", at positions 524 to 776 of the family's 1533-position model. The record is from RNAcentral.